UCCAGACUCCUACGGGAGGCAGCAGUGAGGAAUAUUGGUCAAUGGCCGAGAGGCUGAACCAGCCAAGUCGCGUGAGGGAAGACGGCCCUACGGGUUGUAAACCUCUUUUGUCGGGGAGCAAAGCGAACCACGUGUGGUUCAUUGAGAGUACCCGAAGAAAAAGCGUCGGCUAACUCCGUGCCAGCAGCCGCGGUAAUACGGAGGAUGCGAGCGUUAUCCGGAUUUAUUGGGUUUAAAGGGUGCGCAGGCGGAAUGUCAAGUCAGCGGUAAAAUUUCGGGGCUCAACCCCGUCGUGCCGUUGAAACUGGCGUUCUUGAGUGAGCGAGAAGUAUGCGGAAUGCGUGGUGUAGCGGUGAAAUGCUUAGAUAUUGCGCAGAACUCCGAUUGCGAAGGCAGCAUACCGGCGGCGAUCUGACGCUGAGGCACGAAAGCGUGGGUAUCGAACAGGAUUAGAUACCCGAGUA
This 464-nucleotide ribosomal RNA is filed under the name uncultured bacterium. RNAcentral's name for it is "bacterial SSU rRNA". It matches the Rfam family "Bacterial small subunit ribosomal RNA", at positions 330 to 792 of the family's 1533-position model. The record is from RNAcentral.